This 441-nucleotide ribosomal RNA is filed under the name uncultured bacterium. RNAcentral describes it as "bacterial SSU rRNA". It matches the Rfam family "Bacterial small subunit ribosomal RNA", at positions 338 to 795 of the family's 1533-position model. The record is from RNAcentral.
CCUACGGGUGGCAGCAGUAAGGAAUAUUGCGCAAUGGGCGAAAGCCUGACGCAGCAACGCCGCGUGCGGGAUGAAGGCCCUCGGGUUGUAAACCGCUUUCAGUAGGGAAGAAAAUGACGGUACCUACAGAAGAAGCCCCGGCCAACUACGUGCCAGCAGCCGCGGUAACACGUAGGGGGCGAGCGUUGUCCGGAUUUAUUGGGCGUAAAGAGCUCGUAGGCGGUUUCGUAAGUCGGAUGUGAAAACUCCAGGCUCAGCUUGGAGACGCCAUUCGAUACUGCGAUGACUUGAGUCCGGUAGGGGAGUGUGGAAUUCCUGGUGUAGCGGUGAAAUGCGCAGAUAUCAGGAGGAACACCGGCGGCGAAGGCGGCACUCUGGGCCGGUACUGACGCUGAGGAGCGAAAGCGUGGGUAGCAAACAGGAUUAGAUACCCCGGUAGUC